CCUACGGGGGGCAGCAGUGGGGAAUAUUGGGCAAUGGGCGCAAGCCUGACCCAGCAACGCCGCGUGAAGGAUGAAGGUUUUCGGAUUGUAAACUUCUGUCGCGAGGGACGAAGAAUGACGGUACCUCGUAAGAAAGCCCCGGCUAACUACGUGCCAGCAGCCGCGGUAAUACGUAGGGGGCAAGCGUUGUCCGGAAUGACUGGGCGUAAAGGGAGUGUAGGCGGCUUAUCAAGUUAGAUGUGAAAUCCCGCGGCUUAACCGCGGAACUGCAUCUAAAACUGGUGAGCUGGAGUGCAGGAGAGGUG
Molecule: ribosomal RNA, 305 nt
Filed under: uncultured bacterium
Lineage: Bacteria
Description: bacterial SSU rRNA
Rfam family: Bacterial small subunit ribosomal RNA
Source: RNAcentral